This 766-nucleotide long non-coding RNA is filed under the name Capsella grandiflora. RNAcentral's name for it is "long non-coding RNA (CGRA_LNC000908)". Lineage: Eukaryota; Viridiplantae; Streptophyta; Magnoliopsida; Brassicales; Brassicaceae. The record is from RNAcentral.
UGAACUCUACUGGCUUGUCAUGUAUGUCAUCUACAUGCUGUGAAAGGAUUGCCAAGAAGGCUGAUCUAGGGAUGAAAUUGGGCAGUCCAACACAUUUGCAUUCGUCAAGGAUUUUUAUUUCAUCCAUCAAGAACUCACUCGCAUUCUUCGGCUUUGUUUGCAGAUCAUCUGAGAAUUGGCUUAACAUGUCAGCCAAGCGAGCAGUACAAUGCAUGUUUUGAUCAUCAGGGUAUUCGGAGAAGUCUCCUUGGACGAGAAUUCUCAAUAGUGAUUCUUUAGCAGAACCAAUGAUCUCCAUUAAUGUCAUUAAUGCUUCCCCUGUAGAACCUAUUACCAUUGGUAACUUGUUCAACUCAAGGACAGCAGUUUCCAACUUCUGGUUGAUCUUCCGUACGAUUUCAGGCAAACAUCUGGCGAUCAUGCUUGCUUGGAUAAGCAUUAGCUUCUGAGCUAACACUGGGAUGCCCACAAUGUCUUCAUCAAUCAGGCUCAGUAGUGGAUGGGUCCUGAAAAGUAACUCUUCUUGCAUCCUUGCUUCUUCAUAUGACUCUUCUCCUACACGGUUUCUGACGCAGACAUAACCAAGUACAAUACUCACAUCAUCAGCUGUUACUUUCUGCAGAAGACCUUCUGGAGCCAUGUCUGCCUUUGUGACAACAGCCAGAGUUCGUUGACCGGUUUUGUCAACUUUUCUAGACAUUCGAAUGGAUUCGCAGGUGGUGAAGUCAACAGUAGCUGACAGAACAUUUAGGAUUAUCGAUUCUUG